This 73-nucleotide transfer RNA is filed under the name Candidatus Nanohalarchaeota archaeon. Its description in RNAcentral is "Candidatus Nanohaloarchaeota archaeon tRNA-Gln". It matches the Rfam family "tRNA". From Rfam's summary of the family: Transfer RNA (tRNA) molecules are approximately 80 nucleotides in length. The record is from RNAcentral. RNAcentral also lists the same sequence under 1 other name. Lineage: Archaea; Nanobdellati; Candidatus Nanohalarchaeota.
AGCCCUGUGGUGUAGUGGCCAAUCAUUGCGGGCUUUGAACCCGUGGACAGAGGUUCGAAUCCUCUCAGGGCUA